CAAAUAGCUGGCUAGGGUUCCGGUCUGCCGCAGGCAGAUGACUGGUCCGAGAGCCGGCGACCUCGGUCGAGGUUACACGGCGGGACAAAAGCCCGGGAGAG
This 101-nucleotide small RNA is filed under the name Herbaspirillum seropedicae. RNAcentral describes it as "Guanidine-I sequence". It matches the Rfam family "Guanidine-I riboswitch aptamer". From Rfam's summary of the family: This family represents a conserved RNA structure found upstream of the ykkC and yxkD genes in Bacillus subtilis and related genes in other bacteria. The function of this family is unclear although it has been suggested that it may function to switch on efflux pumps and detoxification systems in response to harmful environmental molecules. Nelson showed that this riboswitch senses and responds to guanidine and it was renamed Guanidine-I riboswitch. The record is from RNAcentral. RNAcentral also lists the same sequence under 1 other name. Lineage: Bacteria; Pseudomonadati; Pseudomonadota; Betaproteobacteria; Burkholderiales; Oxalobacteraceae.